AGUGAACGCUGGCGGUAGGCCUAACACAUGCAAGUCGAACGGCAGCACAGUAAGAGCUCGCUCUUACGGGUGGCGAGUGGCGGACGGGUGAGGCAUACAUCGGAAUCUACUUUUUCGUGGGGGAUAACGUAGGGAAACUUACGCUAAUACCGCAUACGACCUACGGGUGAAAGCAGGGGAUCUUCGGACCUUGCGCGAUUGAAUGAGCCGAUGUCGGAUUAGCUAGUUGGCGGGGUAAAGGCCCACCAAGGCGACGAUCCGUAGCUGGUCUGAGAGGAUGAUCAGCCACACUGGAACUGAGACACGGUCCAGACUCCUACGGGAGGCAGCAGUGGGGAAUAUUGGACAAUGGGCGAAAGCCUGAUCCAGCCAUGCCGCGUGGGUGAAGAAGGCCUUCGGGUUGUAAAGCCCUUUUGUUGGGAAAGAAAAGCAGCAGGUUAAUACCCCGCUGUUCUGACGGUACCCAAAGAAUAAGCACCGGCUAACUUCGUG
RNAcentral lists this ribosomal RNA (492 nucleotides) under uncultured bacterium. RNAcentral's name for it is "partial 16S ribosomal RNA". It matches the Rfam family "Bacterial small subunit ribosomal RNA", at positions 29 to 507 of the family's 1533-position model. The record is from RNAcentral.